Molecule: ribosomal RNA, 402 nt
Filed under: uncultured prokaryote
Description: bacterial SSU rRNA
Rfam family: Bacterial small subunit ribosomal RNA
Source: RNAcentral
UAGGGAAUAUUAGAAAUGGACGAAAGUCUGAUCUAGCAACACCGCGUGUGCGAAGAAGGCCUUCGGGUUGUAAAGCACUUUUUGGAAGGAUUAGGAAGGAAUGUACUUCCAGAAUAAGUCUCGGCUAACUACGUGCCAGCAGCCGCGGUAACACGUAGGAGGCAAACGUUAUCCGGAUUUACUGGGCGUAAAGCGCGUGUAGGUGGUUCUGUAAGUAGGGCGUGAAAGCUCCUGGCUCAACUGGGAAAGGCCGUUCUAAACUGCAGAGCUAGAGGAUGGUAGAGGGAGGUGGAAUUCCGGGGGUAGCGGUGGAAUGCGCAGAUAUCCGGAGGGACACCAGUGGCGAAAGCGGCCUCCUGGACCAUUCCUGACACUCAGACGCGAAAGCUAGGGUAGCAAACG